CAGAAAAAGAGGACUCAAACCUCUAUCUCCAACUCCCAAAGCUGGUAUUUUAUACUAAACUAUUCUCUG
RNAcentral lists this transfer RNA (69 nucleotides) under Calidris pugnax (ruff). RNAcentral's name for it is "tRNA-Pro". The record is from RNAcentral. Lineage: Eukaryota; Metazoa; Chordata; Aves; Charadriiformes; Scolopacidae.